Molecule: long non-coding RNA, 664 nt
Filed under: Mytilus galloprovincialis (Mediterranean mussel)
Lineage: Eukaryota; Metazoa; Mollusca; Bivalvia; Mytilida; Mytilidae
Source: RNAcentral
UUUCCCUUCUCUGUUUCCUGUCACCUUCUCUGUCAAAGCUAAAGCGCAGCCAAUCUUUAGCUGCAUCAUCUAUCUCCUUAUCUGAAGACUCUUUACAGCUACGGUUUUUUUCUAAACGACUCUGUAAUAAAGUUAUAAGUAAACUUGAAUUGUGUAUUUGCCUAAUGCAUGCGUGCGUAAUCUCCCUACUAGAUAUGUAAUAUAAAUUAAUGUGUAUUCUAAAUAUUUUAAACACUAUUUAAUACAAAAUAAAAUCUUAAAUAACCAAUCUUUUUUUUAAUAUUGGUAAUUUGUCUAAUGGUCAGAAAUUCAUUAGUAUUAGAAGGAUUUCUGGGUAUAAUUUGCCGUAAAGAACUCAUAAAGUGUAAUACUUACUUAUUAAAACAUCUUUAAGGAUCAUACGGGAAAAAAAACAGUCUUGUCCCCUCUCCCUAGCCAAUUCAAUUUCAUGACAAUACAGUUUUCCAGGAUUGUGCCCAUAAUCCUUCUUACACUCUGCUUUACCGUAUCUCCUCCAGAAGUACUCAGAUGUUUGAUCUGCAAAUAAUUAUAUGAUGCUAGAUUAAAAUAAAAUAAAAACAAUUGCAAACAACAAGUAAGAGAUAAACGUACCUACAGUUAAUAAUAUGACAUUUUUACAUUGUUCUUGGUAUCUUUCAAGCAC